This 365-nucleotide long non-coding RNA is filed under the name Actinidia chinensis (golden kiwifruit). RNAcentral describes it as "long non-coding RNA (ACHI_LNC009750)". The record is from RNAcentral. Lineage: Eukaryota; Viridiplantae; Streptophyta; Magnoliopsida; Ericales; Actinidiaceae.
AAGAAGAUAUCAUGUUGCAUAUGCCAUUAGCAAAGCCACCAAAGAAGCCACCUCCCGGAAAGAAACCAGGGCCUCCGGGUCCAGGUCCCCAACCAGGCCCACCAGGUCCAGGUCCCCAACCAGGUCCAGGCCAGGCCCCACCGGGUCCAGGCCCCCAACCAGGUCCAGGUCCUCCUGGUCCACCGGGUCCAGGACCCCAACCAGGUCCUCCUGGCCCACCAGGUCCCAUCUUCAGCUCUCUACCACCACCGCACCGCCCGGCCUGGCAAGACUUUCUACCAACAACAGCACACAAGAAAGCUCCAACCCGUCGAAGAAGCUCUUUGGGAAUAUAGUAUUGAUCUUCUUAGAUAAUAUAGUAUAUC